UGCACGCUCCUUAGAUCCAUCUCUGAUUCACUAAGAGAUGCUUGAGUCAUUGGUGUGCAAUAAUAUGCAAUACCUUCUUUUUGGUUUCUUGUAGUAAUGUUGCAUCAUGACAUUACUCAUAUUAACCAAAGAGAGGACAAU
This is a non-coding RNA of Camponotus floridanus (Florida carpenter ant), 141 nucleotides long. Lineage: Eukaryota; Metazoa; Arthropoda; Insecta; Hymenoptera; Formicidae. The record is from Rfam.